CUGUAUCGAAAAUCCGACUACCCCCCAGUGACUCAGGUAACUGGUAAUGUCAAAUAUGACAUUUGGUAGAAAAUGCAUGAAACUAGCAGCACUUAUGAAUCUGUUAUUUUCUUUUAACAAUCUGCUCCUAUAGUUACCGUUGCUUCUCCUGGUUACUAUCACUCAUUUUUGAAUAAUAAAAAAAUACAGUCGACAAAUUCCGGAAAUUAUAGGGAUGAUAUCAAGGAGCGUAAUAAUUGUAUAUAGUGUCAUCAACGUUGGUCCAUCGUGUGUGAUACGGCGAAAGCUUCAAAGUUCUUUAUAGGUUUGGAAAUUUUCGAAUGGGAUUCAUCAUAACAGAUUGACAAAGUUCACGUACUAGCCAGUCGACAGGAACCUUUGUUUUUUUCAUGCACGACGUGGUGAUUGUAAGUCUUCUGAUUGAAUCUGGUUAAUGAACAGGUGCAGUAUUGUCCUAGCAGUGUUUCAGUAAAUCAGCCAAAAUCUCUUAUUUAGCGACUUUAAAAAAACAUAUUUUUACUAGAACGAUGUAUAUUGGUCGGGCGAUGGCUCCUCAAAAGGAAACCUGUGAUCCAUUCGUUUGUACGAAAAGGGGCUGUGGCUAGUGUUUAAAUGGGCGGCAGCGACUAAUGACAUGUAAAAUAUGAUGCUGAAAAUAUUGCCAUUGUACGGGACUAGGAAGUAGACUGAAACUAAAGCAAAGACAAUCCAGGCAUUCCGGUCUCUAUACUUAGUUUCGACGAAGCUGUCACGGAAGCGAUGUGCAAUUUUCAUCGUCAUUACUAUAAGGGCCAAGAUAGGCGCAGAUCUAAAAACAAAUGGAGGGAGCAGUAAUAAGAAUUUAAAUAAAAUUAGUAGAACAUUUGGUUUGAAAAUAAAACAAAUUGUAUUGUAUUAACUAUCA
This is a long non-coding RNA of Topomyia yanbarensis, 904 nucleotides long. RefSeq lists it as uncharacterized. NCBI's taxonomy places the organism in Eukaryota, Metazoa, Arthropoda, Insecta, Diptera, Culicidae. The transcript is spliced from 2 exons. The record is from RefSeq and is a predicted model, not a curated record.